CUGUUUCCUGCUUAUCUCCCAAAUGCAGUAUGCUUAUCUCUUGAAAAUAGUGCCUUUCUUUGGAGCAGAAAAAAUAUCUAUGAACAAAUAUAUAUAUGGGAUUUUGACCUUCUGUUUGGCAGAGUUUCAGAGAUGUCAUUUUCUAUAGCUGCCCCAAUUUUAACUCUAUUAUCACUUCCAGUUGAUAUUGUUGACUUUUCUAAGUCAUAUAGUCACGUGAAUUCUGAAAAUAGGCUUUCUAAAAAAAGAUCUUUGUUGUCUUUGCGCUCUGGGUUUUGAGAUUUUUAGUGGUGAACCAAC
Molecule: long non-coding RNA, 300 nt
Filed under: Prunus persica (peach)
Lineage: Eukaryota; Viridiplantae; Streptophyta; Magnoliopsida; Rosales; Rosaceae
Description: long non-coding RNA (PPER_LNC007143)
Source: RNAcentral